GACGAACGCUGGCGGCGCGCCUAACACAUGCAAGUCGAACGAGAGAUGAGGAGCUUGCUCUUCAAAUCGAGUGGCGAACGGGUGAGUAACGCGUGAGGAACCUGCCUCAAAGAGGGGGACAACAGUUGGAAACGACUGCUAAUACCACAUAAGCCCACGGCUCGGCAUCGAGCAGAGGGAAAAGGAGCAAUCCGCUUUGAGAUGGCCUCGCGUCCGAUUAGCUGGUUGGUGAGGUAAUGGCCCACCAAGGCGACGAUCGGUAGCCGGACUGAGAGGUUGAACGGCCACAUUGGGACUGAGACACGGCCCAGACUCCUACGGGAGGCAGCAGUGGGGAAUAUUGCACAAUGGGGGAAACCCUGAUGCAGCGACGCCGCGUGGAGGAAGAAGGUCUUCGGAUUGUAAACUCCUGUUGU
RNAcentral lists this ribosomal RNA (416 nucleotides) under uncultured bacterium. RNAcentral's name for it is "bacterial SSU rRNA". It matches the Rfam family "Bacterial small subunit ribosomal RNA", at positions 28 to 439 of the family's 1533-position model. The record is from RNAcentral.